Molecule: long non-coding RNA, 5180 nt
Filed under: Triticum aestivum (bread wheat)
Lineage: Eukaryota; Viridiplantae; Streptophyta; Magnoliopsida; Poales; Poaceae
Description: long non-coding RNA (TAES_LNC028121)
Source: RNAcentral
CCUCAGUAUGAUAAUUCUUUCAUCUGUUUGUUCCCCGUUUCUUCUCUAGCCUGAGCCUGACACACUAUUCAAGCUAGACAUGGAUGUGGCUCGUAACACCUGAUGACCAAACGGAUCUACGGCACCAUCGAAUCCCAAACUUUAACUGCCAAAACUAUUGUUUUUCAUCCUGUAGUCCCUUUUAGAAUUACUAAACGUCCUUUUUUGGGCCGAGAUUUCCAGGAAUGCUUUCUCGGGGUUUGUGUGCAAGUAUUUCAAACCAUACAAAGCUAGAAAUUAGAAGUCAUUCCAUCUUUAUUAUCGUAGAGCCUUCCAGCAGUUCCUAAACCGGUCUAGUCGGAGCACGUUAUCAUUCUAGUUAGUUCUGAGUGAAUUCCCUCGGUAUGAUAAUUCUUUCAUCAGUUUGUUCCCCGUUUCUUCUCUAGCCUGAGCCUGACAAACUAUUCUAGCUAGACAUGCGUGUGGCUCGUAACACCUGAUGACCAAACGGAUCUAUAGCACCAUCGAAUCUCAAACUUUAACUGCCAAAACUAUUGUUUUCAUCCUGUAGUCCCUUUUAGAAUUACUAAACUUCCUUUUUUGGGCCGAGAUUUAGAGGAACGCUUUCUGGGGUUUGUGUGCAAGUAUUUCAAACCAUACAGACCUAAAAAUUAGAAGUCAUUCCAUCUUUAUUCCCCUAGAGCCUUCCAGCAGUUCCUAAACCGCUCUAGUCGGAGCACGUUAUCAUUAUUGUUAGUUCUGAGUGAAUUCCCUCGGUAUGAUAAUUCUUUCAUCAGUUUGUUCCCUGUUUCUUCUCUAUCCUGAGCCUGACACACUAUUCUAGCUAGACAUGGGUGUGGCUCGUAACACCUGAUGACUAAAUGGAUCGACGGCACCAUCGAAUCUCAAACUUUAACUGCCAAAACUAUUGUUUUUCAUCCUGUAGUCCCAUUUAGAAUUAGUAAACGUCCUUUUUUGGGCCGAGAUUUAGAGGAACGCUUUCUCGGGGUUUGUGUGCAAGUAUUUCAAACCAUACGGACCUAAAAAUUAGAAGUCAUUCCAUCUUUAUUCCCCUAGUCAUCAGGUAUACACUCAAGUCGGAGCACGUUAUCAUUCUUGUUAGUUCUGAGUGAAUUCCCUCGGUAUGAUAAUUCUUUCAUAAAUUUGUUCCCCGUUUCUUAUAUGGCCUGAGCCUGACACACUAUUCUAGCUAGACAUGGGUGUGGCUCGUAACACCUGAUGACCAAACGGAUCUACGGCACCAUCAAAUCUCAAACUUUAACUGCCAAAACUAUUCUUUUUCAUUCUGUAGUCCCUUCUAGAAUUACUAAACGUCCUUUUUUGGGCCGAGAUUUCCAGGAACGCUUUCUCGGGGUUUGUGUGCAUGUAUUUCAAACCAUACAGACCUAAAAAUUAUAAGUCAUUCCAUCUUUAUUCCCGUAGAGCCUUCCAGUAGUUCCUAAACCGCUCCAGUCGGAGCAUGUUAUCAUUCUUGUUAGUUCUAAGUGAAUUCCCUCGGUAUGAUAAUUCUUUCAUCAGUUUGUUCCCCGUUUCUUCUCUAGCCUGAGCCUGGCACACUAGUCUAGCUAGACAUGGGUGUGGCUCGUAACACCCGAUGACUAAAUGGAUCGACGGCACCAUCGAAUCUCAAACUUUAACUGCCAAAACUAUUGUUUUUCAUCCUGUAGUCCCAUUUAGAAUUACUAAACGUCCUUUUUUGGGCCGAGAUUUAGAGGAACGCUUUCUCGUGGUUUGUGUGCAAGAAUUUCAAACCAUACGGACCUAAAAAUUAGAAGUCAUUCCAUCUUUAUUCCCCUAGAGCCUUCCAGUAGUUCCUAAACCGCUCUAGUCGGAGCACGUUAUCAUUCUUGUUAGUUCUGAGAGAAUUCCCUCGGUAUGAUAAUUCUUUUAUCAGUUUGUUCCCCGUUUCUUCUCUAGCCUGAGCCCGACACACUAUUCUAGCUAGACAUGGGUGUGGCUCGUAACACCUGAUGACCAAACGGAUCUACGGCACCAUCGAAUCUCAAACUUUAACUGCCAAAACUAUUGUUUUUCAUCCUGUAGUCCCUUUUAGAAUUACUAAAUGUCCUUUUUUGGGCCGAGAUUUCCAGGAACGCUUUCUCAGGGUUUGUGUGCAAGUAAUUCAAACCAUACGGACCUAAAAAUUAGAAGUCAUUCCAUCUUUAUUCCCCUAGAGCCUUCCAGCAGUUCCUAAACCGCUCAAGUCAGUGCACGUUAUCAUUCUUGUUAGUUCUAAGUGAAUUCCCUCGGUAUGAUAAUUUGUUCAUCAGUUUGUUCCCCGUUUCUUCUCUAGCCUGAGCCUGACACACUAUUCUAGCUAGACAUGGGUGUGGCUCGUAACACCUGAUGACCAAACGGAUCUACGACACCAUCGAAUCUCAAACUUUAACUACCAAAACUAUUGUUUUUCAUCCUCUAGUCCCUUUUAGAAUUACUAAACGUCCUUUUUUGGGCCGAGAUUUCCAGGAACGCUUUCUCGGGGUUUGUGUGCAUGUAUUUCAAACCAUACAGACCUAAAAAUUAGAAGUCAUUCCAUCUUUAUUCCCGUAGAGCCUUCCAGCAGUUCCUAAACCGCUCCAGUCGGAGCAUGUUAUCAUUCUUGUUUGUUCUGAGUGAAUUCCCUCGGUAUGAUAAUUCUAUCAUCAGUUUGUUCCCCGUUUCUUCUCUAGCCUGAGCCUGGCAAACUAUUCUAGCUAGACAUGGGUGUGGCUCGUAACACCUGAUGACCAAACGGAUCUACGACACCAUCGAAUCUCAAACUUUAACUACCAAAACUAUUGUUUUUCAUUCUAUAGUCCCUUCUAGAAUUUCUAAACGUCCUUUUUUGGGCCGAGAUUUCCAGGAAUGCUUUCUCGGGGUUUGUGUGCAAGUAUUUCAAAUCAUACGGACCUAAAAAUUAGAAGUCAUUCCAUCUUUAUUCCCCUAGAGCCUUCCAGUAGUUCCUAAACCGCUCCAGUCGGAGCACGUUAUCAUUCUUGUUAGUUCAUAGUGAAUUCCCUCGGUAUGAUAAUUCUUUCAUCAGUUUGUUCCCCGUUUCUUCUCUAGCCUGAGCCUGGCACAGUAUUCUAGCUAGACAUGGGUGUGGUCGUAACACCUGAUGACUAAAUGGAUCGACGGCACCAUCGAAUCUCAAACUUUAACUGCCAAAACUAUUGUUUUUCAUCCUGUAAUCCCAUUUAGAAUUACUAAACGUCCUUUUUUGGGCCGAGAUUUAGAGGAACGCUUUGUUGGGGUUUGUGUGCAAGUAUUUCAAACCAUACGGACCUAAAAAUUAGAACUCAUUCCAUAUUUAUUCCCCUUGAGCCUUCCAGCAGUUCCUAAACCGCUCUAGUCGGAGCACGUUAUCAUUCUUGUUAGUUCUAAGAGAAUUCCCUCGGUAUGAUAAUUCUUUUAUCAGUUUGUUCCCCGUUUCUUCUCUAGACUGGGCCCGACACACUAUUCUAGCUAGACAUGGGUGUGGCUCGUAACACCUGAUGACCAAACGGAUCUACGGCACCAUCGAAUCUCAAACUUCAACUGCCAAAACUAUUGUUUUUCAUCCUGUAGUCCCUUUUAGAAUUACUAAACGUCCUUUUUUGGGCCGAGAUUUCCAGGAACGCUUUCUCGGGGUUUGUGUGCAAGUAUUUCAAACCAUACGGACCUAAAAAUUAGAAGUCAUUCCAUCUUUAUUCCCGUAGAGCCAUCCAGCAGUUCCUAAACCGCUCCAGUCGGAGCACGUUAUCAUUCUUGUUAGUUCUGAGUGAAUUCCCUCGGUAUGAUAAUUCUUUCAUCAGUUUGUUCCCCGUUUCUUCUCUAGCCUGAGCCUGACAAACUAUUAUAGCUAGACAUGGGUGUGGCUCGUAACACCUGAUGACCAAACGGAUCUAUGGCACCAUCGAAUCUCAAACUUUAACUGCCAAAACUAUUGUUUUUCAUCCUGUAGUCCCUUUUAGAAUUACUAAACGCCCUUCUUUGGGACGAGAUUUCCAGGAACGCUUUCUCGGGGUUUGUGUGAAAGUAAUUCAAACCAUACGGACCUAAAAAUUAGAAGUCAUUCCAUCUUUAUUCCCGUGGAGCCUUCCAGUAGUUCCUAAACCGCUCCAGUCGGAGCACGUUAUCAUUCUUGUUAGUUCUGAGUGAAUUCCCUCGGUAUGAUAAUUCUUUCAUCAGUUUGUUCCCUGUUUCUUCUCUAGCCUGAGCCUGGCACACUAUUCUAGCUAGACAUGGGUGUGGCUCGUAACACCUGAUGACUAAACUGAUCAAUGACACCAUCGAAUCUCAAACUUUAACUGCCAAAACUAUUGUUUUUCAUCCUGUAGUCCCAUUUAGAAUUACUAAACGUCCUUUUUUGGGCCGAGAUUUCCAGGAACGCUUACUCGGGGUUUGUGUGCAAGUAUUUCAAACCAUACUGACCUAAAAAUUAGAAGUCAAUCCAUCUUUAUUCCCCUAGAGCCUUCCAGCAGUUCCUAAACCGCUCCAGUCGGAGCACGUUAUCAUUCUUGUUAGUUCUGAGUGAAUUCCCUCGGUAUGAUAAUUCUUUCAUCAGUUUGUUCCUUGUUUCUUCUCUAGCCUGAACCUGACACACUAUUCUAGCUAGACAUGGGUGUGGCUCGUAACACCUGAUGACCAAACGGAUCUACGGCACCAUCGAAUCUCAAACUUUAACUGCCAAAACUAUUAUUUUUAAUCCUCUAGUCCCAUUUAGAAUUACUAAACGUCCUUUUUUGGGCCGAGAUUUAGAGGAACGCUUUCAUGCGGUUUGUGUGCAAGUAUUUCAAACCAUACGGACCUAAAAAUUAGAAGUCAUUCCAUCUUUAUUCCCCUAGAGCCUUCCAGCAGUUCCUAAACCGCUCCAGUCGGAGCAUGUUAUCAUUCUUGUUAGUUCUGAGUGAAUUCCCUCGGUAUGAUAAUUCUUUCAUCAGUUUGUGGCCCGUUUCUUCUCUAGCCUGAGCCUGACACACUAUUCUAGCUAGACGUGGGUGUGGCUCGUAACACCUGAUGACCAAACGGAUCUACGGCACCAUCGAAUCUCAAACUUUAAGUGCCAAAACUAUUAUUUUUAAUCCUGUAGUCCCAUUUAGAAUUACAAAAAUGUCCUUUUUUGGGCUGAGAUUUCCAGGAACGCUUUCGUGCGGUUUGUGUGCAAGUAUUUCAAACCAUACAGACCAAAAAAUUAGAAGUCAUUCCAUCUUUAUUCCCUU